This 113-nucleotide ribosomal RNA is filed under the name Panthera tigris altaica (Amur tiger). Lineage: Eukaryota; Metazoa; Chordata; Mammalia; Carnivora; Felidae. The record is from RNAcentral.
GACAUUUGGUAGAGACUGUUGAAGCCACCUGGUCCCAGCAGACCCCAGAAGGCGGCCAUAUUCACUGGUGUUGGAGAAAGGUCAUUGAGGGUUAAGCCUGGAGCAAGAUGUAU